UGCGUAGGCGGUCCCGCAAGUCCGCUGUGAAAGCCCCGGGCUUAACCUGGGAAUGGCAGUGGAAACUAGGGGACGUUGAAUCUGGCAGAGGGGGGUGGGAAUGCCACGUGUAGCAGUGAAAUGCGUAGAUAUGUGGCGGAACACCGAUGGCGAAGGCAGCCCCCUGGGCUGAGAUUGACGCUCAGGCACGAAAGCGUGGGGAGCAAACAGGAUUAGAUACCCUGGUAGUCCACGCCCUAAACGAUGAUCACUAGGUGUUGGGGAAGCGAUUUCUCAGUACCGCAGCUAACGCGUGAAGUGAUCCGCCUGGGGAGUACGGUCGCAAGAUUAAA
RNAcentral lists this ribosomal RNA (332 nucleotides) under uncultured bacterium. Its description in RNAcentral is "bacterial SSU rRNA". It matches the Rfam family "Bacterial small subunit ribosomal RNA", at positions 568 to 898 of the family's 1533-position model. The record is from RNAcentral.